This is a regulatory RNA element of Paracoccus sphaerophysae, 55 nucleotides long. It matches the Rfam family "terC RNA". Lineage: Bacteria; Pseudomonadati; Pseudomonadota; Alphaproteobacteria; Rhodobacterales; Paracoccaceae. The record is from Rfam.
GGUCGAGACCGGGCCCCGCUGACGAUCCCUGCGGAUCGUGAUGUCGGUCGCAUCA